RNAcentral lists this ribosomal RNA (253 nucleotides) under uncultured bacterium. RNAcentral describes it as "partial 16S ribosomal RNA". It matches the Rfam family "Bacterial small subunit ribosomal RNA", at positions 524 to 776 of the family's 1533-position model. The record is from RNAcentral.
UACGUAGGGAGCGAGCGUUGUCCGGAAUUACUGGGUGUAAAGGGUGCGUAGGCGGCUGUGCAAGUCAGGCGUGAAAUGCAGGGGCUUAACCCCUGAGCUGCGUUUGAAACUGCACGGCUUGAGUGAAGUAGAGGUAGGCGGAAUUCCCGGUGUAGCGGUGAAAUGCGUAGAGAUCGGGAGGAACACCAGUGGCGAAGGCGGCCUACUGGGCUUUAACUGACGCUGAGGCACGAAAGCAUGGGUAGCAAACAGG